Molecule: ribosomal RNA, 211 nt
Filed under: uncultured bacterium
Lineage: Bacteria
Description: partial 16S ribosomal RNA
Rfam family: Bacterial small subunit ribosomal RNA
Source: RNAcentral
CAGUUCGGAUUGAAGGCUGAAAUUCGCCUUCAUGAAGCCGGAAUUGCUAGUAAUGGCAGGUCAGCAUACUGCCGUGAAUACGUUCCCGGGCCUUGUACACACCGCCCGUCACACCAUGAGAGUUGGGAAUACCCGAAGCCUGUGAGCUAACUUUUAGAGGCAGCAGUCGAAGGUAGAAUCAAUGAUUGGGGUGAAGUCGUAACAAGGUACC